Molecule: non-coding RNA, 330 nt
Organism: Arachis ipaensis
Lineage: Eukaryota; Viridiplantae; Streptophyta; Magnoliopsida; Fabales; Fabaceae
Source: RefSeq, a predicted model, not a curated record
CCUCUGCCAAGUGGUAUGGUCCUGACAGAAGGAUCUUCUUGCCAGAGGGUCUCUUGGACCAAUCCAAGAUCCCACCAUACUUGACUGGAGAAGUGCCCGGAGACCAUGGUUAUGAUCAUUUUGGUCUCAGCAAGAAGCUAGAGGACUUUGCCAAGAUUCUGGCUGAAGUUGAAAACCUUGCUACUAAUUGUAAUGAGACUGAGCUUAAGUUGUAUUGUUUCUGUAUUUUUUUUUUCAAUUUUUAGUUUUGGAAUUUGAACUCGAGAUUUAUUUUGUAUUUGAGUAUUAGUUUUUUAAUGUAUAAAACAAUUAUCGCAAAAAUUAUGUCAC